AUCAAUUGAGAUUCCCUCAGUAGCGGCGAGCGAACGGGGAAAAGCCCAUUAAGUCAUAUAAGUUCUAGUGGAAUGCUCUGGGAAGUGCAACCAUAGUGGGUGAUAGUCCUGUACACGAAAGGGCUUAUAUGAUGAUGUCGAGUAGGGCGGGGCACGUGAAACCUUGUCUGAAUAUGGGGGGACCAUCCUCCAAGGCUAAAUACUCCUGACUGACCGAUAGUGAACCAGUACCGUGAGGGAAAGGCGAAAAGAACCCCG
Molecule: ribosomal RNA, 258 nt
Filed under: Prorocentrum minimum
Lineage: Eukaryota; Dinophyceae; Prorocentrales; Prorocentraceae
Description: partial Bacterial large subunit ribosomal RNA
Rfam family: Bacterial large subunit ribosomal RNA
Source: RNAcentral